GUUUUCGGUGGGCCGUGUGGGGACACCCGCAAGGGUGUGCCGGUCCUGUGUCCGGUCCGCCAACCCUGCACGGUCCACCACCUUU
Molecule: non-coding RNA, 85 nt
Filed under: Comamonas aquatica DA1877
Lineage: Bacteria; Pseudomonadati; Pseudomonadota; Betaproteobacteria; Burkholderiales; Comamonadaceae
Source: RNAcentral